This 439-nucleotide ribosomal RNA is filed under the name uncultured bacterium. Its description in RNAcentral is "partial 16S ribosomal RNA". It matches the Rfam family "Bacterial small subunit ribosomal RNA", at positions 338 to 795 of the family's 1533-position model. The record is from RNAcentral.
CCUACGGGCGGCAGCAGUGGGGAAUAUUGCACAAUGGGGGGAACCCUGAUGCAGCGAUGCCGCGUGGGUGAAGAAGUACUUCGGUGUGUAAAGCCCUGUCAGCAGGGAAGAAAAUGACGGUACCUGGACCAGAAGCCCCGGCUACCUCCGUGCCAGCAGCCGCGGUAAUACGUAGGGGGCAAGCGUUCUCCGGUUUUGUUGGGUUUACAGUGAGCGUCGGCGGAGGUGCACGUCAGCGGUAAAAUGGCGGGGCUAAACCCCGCACCGCCGUGGAAACUGUUUCCCUUGAGUGCGCGAAGGGUAGGCGGAAUGCGUGGUGUAGCGGUGAAAUGCAUAGAUAUCACGCAGAACUCCGAUCGCGAAGGCAGCCUACCGGCGCGCAACUGACGCUGAGGCACGAAAGCGUGGGUAUCGAACAGGAUUAGAUACCCCUGUAGUC